GGCAUGCCUAACACAUGCAAGUCGAACGAAGCCUUCGGGCUUAGUGGCGCACGGGUGCGUAACGCGUGGGAAUCUGCCCUUGGGUUCGGAAUAACAGUUAGAAAUGACUGCUAAUACCGGAUGAUGUCUUCGGACCAAAGAUUUAUCGCCCAAGGAUGAGCCCGCGUAGGAUUAGGUAGUUGGUGGGGUAAAGGCCUACCAAGCCGACGAUCCUUAGCUGGUCUGAGAGGAUGAUCAGCCACACUGGGACUGAGACACGGCCCAGACUCCUACGGGAGGCAGCAGUGGGGAAUAUUGGACAAUGGGGGCAACCCUGAUCCAGCAAUGCCGCGUGAGUGAUGAAGGCCUUAGGGUCGUAAAGCUCUUUUACCAGGGAUGAUAAUGACAGUACCUGGAGAAUAAGCUCCGGCUAACUCCGUGCCAGCAGCCGCGGUAAUACGGAGGGAGCUAGCGUUGUUCGGAAUUACUGGGCGUAAAGCGCACGUAGGCGGUUAUUCAAGUCAGAGGUGAAAGCCCGGGGCUCAACCCCGGAACUGCCUUUGAAACUAGAUGACUGGAAUCUUGGAGAGGUCAGUGGAAUUCCGAGUGUAGAGGUGAAAUUCGUAGAUAUUCGG
This 614-nucleotide ribosomal RNA is filed under the name uncultured bacterium. Its description in RNAcentral is "bacterial SSU rRNA". It matches the Rfam family "Bacterial small subunit ribosomal RNA", at positions 41 to 701 of the family's 1533-position model. The record is from RNAcentral.